Tripterygium wilfordii is the source of this 91-nucleotide small nucleolar RNA. RefSeq annotates it as small nucleolar RNA snoR27. NCBI's taxonomy places the organism in Eukaryota, Viridiplantae, Streptophyta, Magnoliopsida, Celastrales, Celastraceae. The transcript has a single exon. The record is from RefSeq and is a predicted model, not a curated record.
AUUGGAUCAAUGAUGUACAUUCAAAACUGCGUUAUCUAUCUGAAAUUUCCUCAAUGGAAUUGUAGACUAUCACAAUGUUCUGAGAUCCAAU